Long non-coding RNA from Cairina moschata (Muscovy duck), 3168 nucleotides. Lineage: Eukaryota; Metazoa; Chordata; Aves; Anseriformes; Anatidae. The record is from Ensembl.
AUGGUGGAGGCCGUUGUAGAGGUCCCUGGAGUGGAGGUCAGGCCUGUGGAGGUUCCUGGAGUUGUACUGGAGGACGUAGGUGUUUCCUGGGAGGUGGUGGAGGCAACUGUGGAGGUCACCAGAGUGGAGGUGAGGCCUGUGGAAGUGCCUGGAGUUGUACUGGAGGCCGUGGAAGUCUCUGGGGAGGUGGUGGAGGCUGCUGUAGAGGUCACGGGGGUUGUACUGAUGCCCAUAGAGGUGUCUGAAGUGGUUGAGGAGGCCGUGGAGGUCUCAGCUGAGGUGGUGGAGGCCACACUUGUGGUCAAAAGAGUGGAGGAAGAAGCAGUGGCUGUCUCUGAGGAGGUGGUGGAGGCCACGGUCGAGGUCACAGGUGUGGAGGUCAGGCCUGAGGAGGUCAAUGGUGUGGUUGAGGAGGCUGUGGAGGUUUCAGAGGAUGUGGUGGAGUCCGUGGAGGUCUCCUGGGAGGUGGUGGAGGUUAUUGUGGAGGUCACUGGAGUGGUGGUGAGGCCUGUGGUGGUCCCUGGAAUUGUACUGGAACCUGUGGAGGUCUCAGCUGAGGUGGUGGAGGCCAAUGUGGUCAGAGGUGUGGAGGUGAGGCCUGUGGAGGUGCCUGAAGUUGUGCUGGAGGCUGUAGAUGUUUCCUGGGAGGUGGUGGAGGCAGAUGUGGAGAUCACCGUUGUGGAAGUGAGGCCCGUGGAGGUCCCUGGAGUGGUUGAGGAGGCCGCGGAGGUGUCAGAAGAGGUGGUGGAGGCAGAUGUGGAGGUCUCCAGAGUGGAGGUGGGACCAGUUGAAGUUCCUGGAGUUGUACUGGAGGCUGUGGAGGUCUCUGGGGAGGUCGUAGAGGCCACAGUUGAGGUCAGGAUUGUUGAAGUGAGGCCUGUGGAGGUCUCUAGGGUAGAGGUGGAGGCCGUGGAGGUCUCAGAAGAGGUGGUGGAGGCCACAGUGGAGGUCACAAGAGUUGAAGUGGGGCCUGUGGAGGUCCCAGGAUUUGUACUGGAGGCCGUGGAGGUCUCGGAUGAGGUUGUAGAGGCUCCUGUGGAGCUCACGGGGGUUGUAGUGAGGACUGUGGAGGAUUCUGGAGUUGUACUGGAGGCUGUGGAGGUCUCAGCUGAGGUGGUGGAGGCCACAGUCGAGGUCAUAGUUGUUGAAGUCAGGCCUGAGGUGGUCUCUGAAAUGGAGGCCGAGGAUGUGGAGGUCUCAGAAGAGGUGGUGGAGGCCACAGUGGAGGUCAGUGGUGUGGAGGUGAGGGCUGUGGAGGUCCCUGGAGUAGAAGUGGAGGCCGUGGAGGCCUCUGAGGAGGUGGUGGAGGCCACAGUCGAGAUUUCUGUAGUUGAAGUGAGGGCUGUGGAGGUCCCUGGAGUGGUUGAGGAGGCUGUGGAUGACUGUUGGGAAGUGGUGGAGGCCACAGUCGAGGUCUCUGUGGUGGAGGUUAAGGCUGUAGGCGUCUCUGAAGAGCUUGAGGAGGUUGUGGAGGUCUCUGAGGAGGUGGUGGAGGCCAGAGUUGAGAUUCCUGCAGUGGAGGUGAGGCCUGAGGAGGUUCCUGCAGUGGUUGAGGAGGCCGUGGAGGUUUCUUGGGAGGUUGUAGAGGCCACAGUCGAGGUCAGGAUUGUUGAAGUGAGGCCUGUGGAGGUCUCUGAAGUAGAGGUGGAGGCCGUGGAGGUCUCAGCUGAGGUGGUGGAGGCCACAGUUGAGGUCAUCAUAGUUGAAGUCAGGCCUGCGGUGGUCCCUGGAGUGGAGGCCGAGGAUGUGGAGGUCUCACCAGAGGUGGUGGAGGCAGAUGUGGAGGUCACGGGUGUGGAGGUGAGGCCUGUGGAAGUCCCUGGAGUUGUACUGGAGGCCGUGGAGGUCUCAGAAGAGGUGGUGGAGGCCACAGUUGAGGUCACAAGAGUUGAAGUGGGGCCUGUGGAGGUCCCAGGAUUUGUACUGGAGGCCGUGGAGGUCUCGGAUGAGGUUGUAGAGGCUCCUGUAGAGGUCCCUGGUGUGGAGGAGAGGCCUGUGGAGGUGACUGGAGAUGUUGAGGAUGCUGUGGAGGUCUCUGAGGAGGUGGUGGAGGCCGUGGUAGAGGUCCCUGGUGUGGUGGUGAGGUCUGUGGAGGUGACUGGAGUUGUACUGGAGGCCAUGGAGGUCUCAGGUGAGGUGGUGGAGGCCACAGUCGUGGUCAUCGUCGUUGAAGUUAGGCCUAAGGUGGUCCCUGAAGUGGAGGCCGAGGAUGUGGAGGUCUCUUGGGAAGUGGUGGAGGCCACAGUUGAGGCCACGGGGGUUGUAGUGAGGACUGUGGUUUCUGGAGUCAUACUGGAGGCCGUGGAGGUCUCAGAGGACGUGGUGGAGGCCGCUGUGGAGGUUAGAGCUGUGGAGCUUGGGCCCGUGGAGGUUCCUGGAGCUGUUGAGGAGGCCGUGGAUGGCACUGAAGAGAUUGUAGAGGCUGCUGUGGAGCUCACGGGGGUUGUAGUGAGGACUGUGGAGGAUUCUGGAGUUGUACUGGAGGCCGUGGAGGUCUCUUGGGAGGUCGUAGAGGCCACAGUCGAGGUCACUGUAACUGAAGUUGGGCCUGUGAUGGUCCCAGAAGUGGAGGCCGAGGCCAUGGACGUCUCUUGGGAGGUGGUGGAGGCCGUGGUGGAGGUCUCCGGAGUGGAGGUGGGACCAGUUGAAGUUCCUGGAGUUGUACUGGAGGCCGUGGAGGUCUCUGGGGAGGUCGUAGAGGCCACAGUUGAGGUCAGGAUUGUUGAAGUGAGGCCUGUGGAGGUCUCUGGGGUAGAGGUGGAGGCCGUGGAGGUCUCGGAUGAGGUUGUGGAGGCUCCUGUGGAGGUCACGGGUGUGGAGGUGAGGCCCGUGGAGGUCCCCGGAAUUGUACCGGAGGCCAUGGAGGUCCCUGAGGAGGUGGUGGAGGCCCCGUUCGAGCUCCCCACUGUGGAGGUUUGUCCUGUGGAGUCUCCUGGAGUUGUACCGGAGGCCGCGGAGGUCUCAAGGGACCCAGUAGAGGACGAAGGCGAGGCCUCGAUUGCGGUCUCCUCACCCCUUGGGGUCCCUGGAGAGGAAGAGGAGGCCGCGGAGGCCCCUGAGGAGGUUUCGUUGCCUCCGUUGGAGGAGGUUUUUGGGGAUGUAACAGGACUCGAAUCCCUUGGAGGGGCCGCGGAGGCCUCUGGUGAGGUGGCGGAGGCCACAGCGUAG